AGACAAAUGACGACAGUGUCUUAUCAUGGAGUCAUGGGAGAAUAUAAGAAGAAAAUGCAGACUCCAGAAACCACAGUUAAUGAGAUUACUCAGCUCUUCUGGGAAGACAAUGUAUUCUAAUGAUGGCCCAUUCCACAUGUUGUCUUUUUUAGUGACACUCCUCUCUAUCCACAGGAUGUGUGCCUUGAGCAGCCAGCAACCAUGCUGUGAAGAGGCACAAACGAGCCUAGACAGAUAGAUGAGGUGGAUAGGCUUACAUGGAGUGGAACUGAGGUCC
Long non-coding RNA from Cebus imitator (Panamanian white-faced capuchin), 277 nucleotides. RefSeq lists it as uncharacterized. The transcript is spliced from 3 exons. Lineage: Eukaryota; Metazoa; Chordata; Mammalia; Primates; Cebidae. The record is from RefSeq and is a predicted model, not a curated record.